Molecule: long non-coding RNA, 2470 nt
Organism: Raphanus sativus (radish)
Lineage: Eukaryota; Viridiplantae; Streptophyta; Magnoliopsida; Brassicales; Brassicaceae
Exons: 9
Source: RefSeq, a predicted model, not a curated record
GAGAACCUAGUUGAAACCUAAAGAGACCCCGUGACUGGUUUAGUUAGCAAAAUCCCCUUCCAAUUCACGAGUGAAAUCAAGCAAAUCGCAGCUAGUUUUGAAGCAUCUGAGAUGAGGAUCGAGGGUUUGCAUGUCUGAAACUAUGUGUCUUGUUCCUAAUCUGUCUAUCCAGAGUGACAAAGAGAGUAUCCACCGACUUGAAUGUGUUGGAGUGGAGCCUCGAGUUCCUUUCAAUCCACAGCGCAUAGAUCAUCGCCUGCCAGGCGAGGAGAGCAAGAGCAGUUUGAGAGUUUGAAGCAGGAAGGGACAUGAGCUGGGUCAGCGUUUCAUCCCAGGUACACCUCGGUUGCAUGUAACCUCCCUGCAAUUGAGGUCCAUAGAUCAUAACUAUAAUCACAUUCCUGGAAGAGAUGGUUACGAGAUUCGCUUUGAUUGUUACAAAGCAGACAAAGAUGAUCAGUUUGGAGACCCCAUCGUAUCAGUCGAUCGCGAGUAGAUAGCUGAUCCUGAAUUACUAACCAAGCAUGAAAGCAGUGCCUCAGUAUCCCUCUCUUAAUCCAGAUCAAAGUUUCCCACCGAACCUGAGCUCCACAGUAGUGAGGUAGCCUUGUAGUUGAAGUUGUGCUUCUGAUCUUGCAGGGGGAAGCUGCCAUUUUCCAUUUAUGCAGAUAGAGGACACAGUUUCUUUAGCCGGAUACCCAAUCCUGAUAGAGGACCAUUAAGCUUUAAGAGUUUAUUGGCCAGCCAAGAGAAGGAGGGGUUAGACUUCGUUGUCCAGUAGUUGCUAAGCGAGCCUUUGAGAACAACCUCCUUGAACCAAGCAACCCAAACAGAACCACUCCUGAAGAAAAGUAACCAGAUCAAUCGCAGACAGCAAGCCCUAUUUUAGACAGAUAGGUUUUUAACUCCUAAGCCUCCUUGACAUUUCGGUUUGGUGACAACAUCCCAAGAGACUCUCUCUGUGUUCCUGCUCUCACAUCUUCUUUCCAAAGAAACACACUACACAUAGAGUUAUCCUUGCCUAUACACGCCUUCGGUAAAAUAAAGGAGGAGCACUAGAAUGUGUAGUGGCUCGCAGUUAGUGAGGUUCAUUUUCCUAGAGUUCAGCAGUACUCCAAGAUAUCUGACAGACCGAAGUUCAAACUCUCGAAGCACUGAGAGAACCUGUUGCACUGAUUCCAGAGAGCCAUCAAUGAAAAUCAGAAGAUCGUCUGCAAAGGAGAGAUAGGUGAGCUUUGUGGACUUGCACUGAGAGUGAUAUUUGAGCUUAUUCUCCACCGCGGCCCUGUUAAGAAGAUGGGAGAGAUAGUUCAUUGCUAUAACAAAUAAGUAAGAUACAGGCCUUCAGCCAAGCAACAAACUGGUCGGGAAUCUGCAAGGCAUCAAGAGUAGCAAACAUAAACUCCCACAAGAGGGUGUCAAACGCCUUUGCAAUGUCUACCUUAAUGGGGAGAAUCAGGUAAGGCAAGCAGAGUUUCAGACGCUUAACCAAGAUGCGAGAGAUGACUUUAUAUAGAGUAUUGAGGCAGUAUAUGGGGCGAAACUGAGUGAUCUGAGAAGCUCCUGAGAAUUUCGGAACCAGCGACAGAAUGGUAGCAUUUAGAGAAGAGGGCAGGAACGCAGAGGAAAAGAAGUUAGUUAUGGAGUUCACGACUUCAUCCCCAAGACACUCCAAGCUGCCUUGAAAAAUCCCGAGGGGUUGGCAUAGCUCUCAUCUGUUGAGCAAUCUGAGCAGAGCAUCGGUAGCUACAAGUCUCCAUGAACCAGCUAGCAGGGGUGAAAAUCCCAAACAAGCAGUAAGGUGGGGGUCCAAGCACAGACUGGAAGUGAGUGACGGCGUGAUCACUUAUAGCAAGCGGGUCUGUAAUCCAAUCACCAGUGCACGUCAUAAAGCUCCUUAUGGCAUUGUAGUUAGCUCGAACCUGACACAUCCGAUGAAAGAAGGAAUAACCAUUUCUGGUGCAAAUCUCUCUCUGCUUGGAAUGUGGCUGGGGUAGGGUUUUGGAGAGCUUGUACAUGCACAAGUUGAAGCAAACAAUAAGUUUCAGAAACUCUCUCUUGAAUUUUAGAAAAAUUCUCUCUAUUUAGAUGUUUUAAGUCACUCUUUAUCAAUUUCAGCUUCCAGCACAAAUGGGCAAGGCUUUGACUCUCACUUCCAGCACGCAACCAACCGUCAUAAACAACCUGAGCGAAACUCGGAUGCUUUGUAAUGUAAUUAAGGAAUUUAAAAGGCUUGGUUCUGGCUUUUGGGAGUUGAUAGGCUAGGUCUAGGAUACAAGCUUUUUAGGUGUUGGGGCUCAAGAGAUGAUAUGAUCUGGAUAAACUUGUAUCUCGGGAGUCCGAUCAAGAAUUUCUUCAUUUUUGGAUUUUUUACAUUUUCUCUCAACGAGGCUGUCUUGUAUGAUAAACCUGAUGUAUUUCCCGAAAAAUCAUUGACCGAAUCAUUAUCAUUUAUCUUCAACCUAUCAAA